RNAcentral lists this ribosomal RNA (109 nucleotides) under Mesohalobacter halotolerans. The record is from RNAcentral. Lineage: Bacteria; Pseudomonadati; Bacteroidota; Flavobacteriia; Flavobacteriales; Flavobacteriaceae. RNAcentral also lists the same sequence under 1 other name.
UAAGGUGAUUAUAGCAACGGGGCUCACCUCUUCCCAUUCCGAACAGAGCAGUUAAGCCCGUUAGCGCCGAUGGUACUACAAUGCGUGGGAGAGUAGGUCGUCGCCUUCU